AUUGAACGCUGGCGGCAGGCUUAACACAUGCAAGUCGAGCGGGGUGAUGGUGCUUGCACUAUCACUUAGCGGCGGACGGGUGAGUAAUGCUUAGGAAUCUGCCUAUUAGUGGGGGACAACAUUUCGAAAGGGAUGCUAAUACCGCAUACGUCCUACGGGAGAAAGCAGGGGAUCGCUUGUGACCUUGCGCUAAUAGAUGAGCCUAAGUCGGAUUAGCUAGUUGGUGGGGUAAAGGCCUACCAAGGCGACGAUCUGUAGCGGGUCUGAGAGGAUGAUCCGCCACACUGGGACUGAGACACGGCCCAGACUCCUACGGGAGGCAGCAGUGGGGAAUAUUGGACAAUGGGGGGAACCCUGAUCCAGCCAUGCCGCGUGUGUGAAGAAGGCCUUAUGGUUGUAAAGCACUUUAAGCGAGGAGGAGGCUCUUUUGGUUAAUACCCAAGAUGAGUGGACGUUACUCGCAGAAUAAGCACCGGCUAACUCUGUGUCAGCCGCCGCGGUAA
This 503-nucleotide ribosomal RNA is filed under the name uncultured bacterium. Its description in RNAcentral is "partial 16S ribosomal RNA". It matches the Rfam family "Bacterial small subunit ribosomal RNA", at positions 30 to 523 of the family's 1533-position model. The record is from RNAcentral.